RNAcentral lists this ribosomal RNA (497 nucleotides) under uncultured bacterium. Its description in RNAcentral is "partial 16S ribosomal RNA". It matches the Rfam family "Bacterial small subunit ribosomal RNA", at positions 28 to 507 of the family's 1533-position model. The record is from RNAcentral.
GAUGAACGCUGGCGGCGUGCCUAAUACAUGCAAGUCGAGCGAACAGAUAAGGAGCUUGCUCCUUUGACGUUAGCGGCGGACGGGUGAGUAACACGUGGGUAACCUACCUAUAAGACUGGGAUAACUUCGGGAAACCGGAGCUAAUACCGGAUAACAUUUGGAACCGCAUGGUUCUAAAGUGAAAGAUGGUUUUGCUAUCACUUAUAGAUGGACCCGCGCCGUAUUAGCUAGUUGGUAAGGUAACGGCUUACCAAGGCAACGAUACGUAGCCGACCUGAGAGGGUGAUCGGCCACACUGGAACUGAGACACGUUCCAGACUCCUACGGGAGGCAGCAGUAGGGAAUCUUCCGCAAUGGGCGAAAGCCUGACGGAGCAACGCCGCGUGAGUGAUGAAGGGUUUCGGCUCGUAAAACUCUGUUAUUAGGGAAGAACAAACGUGUAAGUAACUGUGCACGUCUUGACGGUACCUAAUCAGAAAGCCACGGCUAACUACGUG